GUGUCGUUAGCUCAGUCGGUAGAGCAGUUGGCUUUUAACCAAUUGGUCGUAGGUUCGAAUCCUACACGACCCACCA
This 76-nucleotide transfer RNA is filed under the name Pseudomonas aeruginosa. RNAcentral describes it as "tRNA-Lys". It matches the Rfam family "tRNA". Rfam says of the family: Transfer RNA (tRNA) molecules are approximately 80 nucleotides in length. Their secondary structure includes four short double-helical elements and three loops (D, anti-codon, and T loops). The record is from RNAcentral. Lineage: Bacteria; Pseudomonadati; Pseudomonadota; Gammaproteobacteria; Pseudomonadales; Pseudomonadaceae.